UAAGCACUAAUUAAUGUAAGCAAAAGCACUAUGUAUUUGAUAUGAUUAAGCUAACAAAAGAGCUAAGCAGUCUGAUCAAAGCAGAUAGAGAGUAUAGGGUGUGAACAAGGUAGAUGGAACGCUUGUCCUAGGGAUCUAGGAUCACUUGCAGAUGCAAUCGCCAAGAGUGAACGAACAAGAUCUAGGUGUUAUCGUGAGUGACUGUAAACUAUGCCCAACACUUUCCCUCUUGCAUACCUACACUAUGCAAGGAUAAUAAACUAUUGGACAAUAAGAACACGACAUGAUGAUUGUUCUAGGUAAGCAACAAAGGAACCCAAAGUGGCGCUGGCCAGCCAUUACAUGAAAGAGCAUCAUCAAUAUAUGAAUGAUAACAAAUAGAUCUUCAACAAUAGAUUCGGCAAUUACAAAUCAAGAUCUCAUACAACCCCGAGGACAAACA
RNAcentral lists this long non-coding RNA (442 nucleotides) under Setaria viridis. RNAcentral describes it as "long non-coding RNA (SVIR_LNC009195)". Lineage: Eukaryota; Viridiplantae; Streptophyta; Magnoliopsida; Poales; Poaceae. The record is from RNAcentral.